GGGCCUGACACAGUUUCGAUUGCGGGCGGAUGGCGGAGUAAGCAUACCGAAGGCUCGGCUUCGUAAAAACGGAACUUAAAUUUAAACGCAGAAUCAAAAGAUUCCAAAGUUGUUGCUUUCCCUGUAAACAGGGUUGCAAUGGCUUGCGCUGCUUAACUUAAUGCAGCCCGCCAAAUGCGCACCUCCGCCGGGCGCACGCGGUGUUAUUCAGGCGGAUAAAGGCUUGUACGGCGUUGCCGCGUCGAACUUGUCGUAAAUUUUCAGGCAUGCGGCCGCACCUCCCCGUUUACCGGGCGGCGCGGAGUAAGUUUAAAGGUAAAAUAAGUAUGUAGAAAGCCCGCCUGAACCCCGUAAGACCAGAGUGCAACUCUCUGCAGGUCCACCA
RNAcentral lists this transfer-messenger RNA (385 nucleotides) under Christensenellaceae. RNAcentral's name for it is "Coproplasma excrementigallinarum Standard tmRNA". It matches the Rfam family "transfer-messenger RNA". From Rfam's summary of the family: Bacterial tmRNA, also known as 10Sa RNA or SsrA, is named for its dual tRNA and mRNA-like properties. Its role is to liberate the mRNA from a stalled ribosome. Lineage: Bacteria; Bacillati; Bacillota; Clostridia; Christensenellales. The record is from RNAcentral. RNAcentral also lists the same sequence under 1 other name.